UCCCUUUAAAAAGUCCGAUUCAGGUUGCCGUUGUCUCACAUGAAGCUACAGGAGCGGGACUAUGAGAGCACUCGGGUUUGCCGAUGCAGUUCACACUCACAGAGACUGUCGAAGAGGAUCAUUGGCAGGUUUUCACAUGUGUGGAUGAAGAAGCGCCGUGGCGAUCCAAGGCUGAGUGCCGAUUACUCUCCCGCUUUGCUUCACAUGUUCGGCUGUGACAAAGCAUAACGCUGAGAACUGCUGGAGAAGAAGGAGGAGGAGGAGGAGAAGAAGAACAACACAGCAGAAGGCCCCGGAGAAACGCUGCGGCGCCACAGAAGGAGUUCCUGAAGACGAAAACGGAACAGAGGAAAGCUGCACGGGAGGAAAAGCAGAGGGGGAGUGGGGAGAUAUAUUGAGAGAAAAGAGAGAAGCACCGGAGAUAUUCCGAGGAGUGGAGGAUAGAGAGUCACGAAAAGGAGAGAGGAGACAGAAGGGAGAGAAAAAAACGUGGCCAAGCAUGAGAGAGGAGGAGCACUCGAAUGAUGACCACCCUGAGGGAGGGGUGGUUUCCAGCGAGGAGAACACGGUCAGACCACCAUCUAACGCCUGUCCUGUCGUCGUCGCCACGCCGGGGGUCAACGGGCGUAAGCGGCAGACGGGCCCACCCACGGAGGAUCACGUUACGACAGUCGCUCCCAACACAUCGGCGAACGACUGCAAGAUCAAGCCAGCGGAAGACAUCCAGGUCUACACGCUGACCGGACCGAAAAGAGUCAAAAAGAGUCCUCAACAUCGGCCGCCUUCCUCUGGCCCGUCCCUCUCUCCGGGCCCCGGUAAUAGUCCUGGAGAUCUCUCCUCCCUCGAGGACCCGCACGGCCAACGGGUCAUCGCCAACAUCCGGGAGCGCCAACGGACACAAUCUCUGAAUGACGCCUUCUCCUCGUUGCGCCAGAUAAUCCCGACGCUGCCCUCCGACAAACUGAGCAAGAUCCAGACCCUGAAGUUGGCGUCGCGCUACAUUGACUUCCUGUACCAGGUUCUGCAGAAUGACGAGAUGGACACUAAGCUGGCUGGAUGUAACUACCUGGCCCACGAGAAACUGAGCUACGCCUUCUCUGUGUGGAGGAUGGAGGGGGCUUGGUCGACCAUGUCUGCUGGUCACUAGCCCUGCCUGAAAGCAAGGUUCGUCUUUUGACUGUUUGCCUUAAAGCGUAUGGCGAAUGCCACGCGAUAGGGGAGUAUUGUGACUUGACACCAAGGUCUGAAGAGAAAUCUGAACUGUGUCUUCUCACCAGCGGACUAUCUGACACCUCGAUAUCGAUCAUCUCCAGGAUGACGGGCAGACUGUUUGACAUUCGAGCGUGAUCCUUUUGACGGAGCUGAUUUUUAAGCCACUAUCCCUUCAUGGAGGGAUUUCAUCGUUGUGACAUAUCAGACGGUAUCUUAUAAUAAUUCUAUUGUUUUGCUUGCCAAAAGCAGCUAAUGCUGCUCAAGGGAGCCAAGGACAUUGUUAAAGAAAAGAAUCAUAACAGGGACGUUGUGCUCAGUGUUUGAUUCCUAGCUUCUUCUUCUUUCUUUUUUUAAAGGCACCAUUACUAUCGUCUUCUUCAUAGGUAUGCAUACUUCGAGCCACAUUUGGACUUCAUUUCAUUUUAUUUAACUUUAUUUCUGUCUCAGGCGAGCAAGUGUAUGAAGUGUUGUGUAAUAUUUAACGAGCAGCAACAAGAAAAUGCAGAGAAAGGAUUUGAGGAAAGUCAGGACUGGAAAGACAGAAUUGGAUGUUCCAAGAGGGAUUGGACCUUUGACUUUUCCGUACCCUUUCAACUCCCACUUUGCCAAGACUUACAUAUCAUGAAUCCCUGGCCGCCGCUUAACAGAAGCGACGGUGGAAAAAGUAUCCACGGGCAGCCGUCGUCUUGACUUAAGUUUCUCCUCUUUGUACCCAAACGGAGCCCCUUUGUUUCUUCGGGUGCCAAAAAAACUCUCCUCUUGAAAUUCUUUCCUCUCGUUCUGGCCCAAAUUUGCUUGCGUUGCACGAAACGGUGAUGCAGCUACAGCGAGCUGACGAGGAGGCGUAAUGAAAACAAACUGCCUCGCAAAAGCCAUGAAUCAUGUGUGUCACCAUCAAAGGGGAGGCUGAUGUGGCUCCCCGCUGGGCUCCCAUAAACCACUGGAAGUGAUGGAGGAGCUGCUGAAUAAAAGGGACUGUGAUCUUCCGUGUACAUUUCUGCUCCGUGCUACCGUUACUGCCACUCUAAGCACAUGGACUUUGAUGCGAAUGGGAUUUUUCGACGAGGAUGCGAGGACAUUUCUGGACCAACUAAACCAACAAAGAGCUUUCCAUUACUCAGAGCGCACAGAAGUUGACAUUACAGGUCAAGUUGGAUCAGUUUUGGUGUUUCAUGCUUUACCCCCUGGAUGUUAUUCUGAAGGAACCUCUAUGAUAGCUGUCACUGUAGGACAAACUUAACCUGCAGCUAAAGCAAGACUUCAAUCUCAGACAGCGAUUGGUGCGUUUGUCUCUUUUUACACCAGUUUACAGGCUUUGUUUUGGCUUUUUUUAGGCCCAUUUACUUGAAGAAUAUACAUCGUGGUGCUUUUUGUAAAAAACAAACAAAAACACUGAGUGACACUGAUACAGCAUGACUGACAAAAUAUAUAACAAGCAGAAAUAAAUCCCUGGAGAACUAGAUGUGGUGAUACGCGAGUCAAUAUUUGUCGAAAGAAAUUAAACUGUCUUCAAACUAUU
Pseudoliparis swirei is the source of this 2731-nucleotide RNA transcript. It is a transcript of the gene named twist-related protein 2-like, with no coding region annotated. Lineage: Eukaryota; Metazoa; Chordata; Actinopteri; Perciformes; Liparidae. The transcript has 2 exons. The record is from RefSeq and is a predicted model, not a curated record.